This 459-nucleotide ribosomal RNA is filed under the name uncultured bacterium. RNAcentral describes it as "partial 16S ribosomal RNA". It matches the Rfam family "Bacterial small subunit ribosomal RNA", at positions 338 to 795 of the family's 1533-position model. The record is from RNAcentral.
CCUACGGGUGGCAGCAGUGAGGAAUAUUGGUCAAUGGGCGCGAGCCUGAACCAGCCAAGUCGCGUGAGGGAAGACGGUCCUAUGGAUUGUAAACCUCUUUUGUCGGGGAGCAAAAGACGCCACGUGUGGCGUUCCGAGAGUACCCGACGAAAAAGCAUCGGCUAACUCCGUGCCAGCAGCCGCGGUAAUACGGAGGAUGCGAGCGUUAUCCGGAUUUAUUGGGUUUAAAGGGUGCGCAGGCGGAAGAUCAAGUCAGCGGUAAAAUUGAGAGGCUCAACCUCUUCGAGCCGUUGAAACUGGUGUUCUUGAGUGAGCGAGAAGUAGGCGGAAUGCGUGGUGUAGCGGUGAAAUGCAUAGAUAUCACGCAGAACUCCGAUUGCGAAGGCAGCAUACCGGCGCUCAACUGACGCUCAUGCACGAAAGUGUGGGUAUCGAACAGGAGUAGAUACCCCUGUAGUC